Mycena polygramma is the source of this 95-nucleotide non-coding RNA. Lineage: Eukaryota; Fungi; Basidiomycota; Agaricomycetes; Agaricales; Mycenaceae. The record is from the annotation of a GenBank genome assembly.
GCCUGCAUAGGUCAGUGGUAAGAUCGCCUUCUCUGAAUAGACGUGUUCAACAUUUCGGUAUGAAGGAGACGGAGGUUCGACUCCUCCUGCGGGCA